RNAcentral lists this ribosomal RNA (485 nucleotides) under uncultured bacterium. RNAcentral's name for it is "SSU rRNA". It matches the Rfam family "Bacterial small subunit ribosomal RNA", at positions 26 to 518 of the family's 1533-position model. The record is from RNAcentral.
AGGACGAACGCUGGCGGCGUGCUUAACACAUGCAAGUCGAGCGGAAAGGCCCUUCGGGGUACUCGAGCGGCGAACGGGUGAGUAACACGUGAGUAAUCUGCCUUCAGCUCUGGGAUAGCUCCGGGAAACCGGGAUUAAUACCGGAUAUGACCACUUCGGACAUCUGUUGUGGUGGAAAGUUUUUCGGCUGGAGAUGAGCUCGCGGCCUAUCAGCUUGUUGGUGGGGUAAUGGCCUACCAAGGCGACGACGGGUAGCCGGCCUGAGAGGGCGACCGGCCACACUGGGACUGAGACACGGCCCAGACUCCUACGGGAGGCAGCAGUGGGGAAUAUUGCGCAAUGGGCGGAAGCCUGACGCAGCGACGCCGCGUGGGGGAUGAAGGCCUUCGGGUUGUAAACCCCUUUCAGUAGGGAACAAGGCCGGCUUUUGGUUGGUUGAGGGUACCUGCAGAAGAAGCGCCGGCUAACUACGUGCCAGCAGCCGC